GCACUGCUGAAGAGUCCCGCGAUAGGACAAAACAGCCGUCCAGUGC
Schistosoma curassoni is the source of this 46-nucleotide non-coding RNA. The record is from Rfam. Lineage: Eukaryota; Metazoa; Platyhelminthes; Trematoda; Strigeidida; Schistosomatidae.